Molecule: small RNA, 80 nt
Filed under: Klebsiella quasipneumoniae
Lineage: Bacteria; Pseudomonadati; Pseudomonadota; Gammaproteobacteria; Enterobacterales; Enterobacteriaceae
Description: Retron msr RNA
Rfam family: Retron msr RNA
About the family: Retron elements are found in a wide range of mainly Gram-negative bacteria.
Source: RNAcentral
GCUCUUUAGCGUAUUAUGGAUUUACCACCUGAUUGGUCAAAUCUAGUUGGGCGUUGCGCCAAACUCUAAUUUAUUGAUUA